UAGAAGUUUAUUGAGGACGGUACAACAAUGUCAUUGUGCAGCAACAAAUGGAACUGUAUCAUCGAUCUGACCUCGGUUGCGCAAGGGCGAAUAUGAGACACAAGGAUUCCGGCAGAUACAAACAGAAGUGAUGGAUUUAUUGAGGAUUACAUCAAAUAAUCCAGGAGCUGUGAAUCAGUUAACAAAAAAUGGAUAAAGUCGAAACCAAAGAAGAAGAUUCUGAAAUAAUCUCGAAAAGUGUACGCGUU
This 248-nucleotide long non-coding RNA is filed under the name Haliotis rubra (blacklip abalone). RNAcentral describes it as "uncharacterized LOC124265479". Lineage: Eukaryota; Metazoa; Mollusca; Gastropoda; Lepetellida; Haliotidae. The record is from RNAcentral.